This 492-nucleotide ribosomal RNA is filed under the name uncultured bacterium. RNAcentral's name for it is "partial 16S ribosomal RNA". It matches the Rfam family "Bacterial small subunit ribosomal RNA", at positions 29 to 507 of the family's 1533-position model. The record is from RNAcentral.
AGUGAACGCUGGCGGUAGGCCUAACACAUGCAAGUCGAACGGCGGCACAGUAAGAGCUUGCUCUUACGGGUGGCGAGUGGCGGACGGGUGAGGAAUACAUCGGAAUCUACUUUUUCGUGGGGGAUAACGUAGGGAAACUUACGCUAAUACCGCAUACGACCUACGGGUGAAAGCAGGGGAUCUUCGGACCUUGCGCGAUUGAAUGAGCCGAUGUCGGAUUAGCUAGUUGGCGGGGUAAAGGCCCACCAAGGCGACGAUCCGUAGCUGGUCUGAGAGGAUGAUCAGCCACACUGGAACUGAGACACGGUCCAGACUCCUACGGGAGGCAGCAGUGGGGAAUAUUGGACAAUGGGCGCAAGCCUGAUCCAGCCAUACCGCGUGGGUGAAGAAGGCCUUCGGGUUGUAAAGCCCUUUUGUUGGGAAAGAAAAGCAGCAGGUUAAUACCCCGCUGUUCUGACGGUACCCAAAGAAUAAGCACCGACUAACUUCGUG